UACGUAGGGUCGAAGCGUUAAUCGGAAUUACUGGGCGUAAAGCGUGCGCAGGCGGUUGUGCAAGACCGAUGUGAAAUCCCCGAGCUUAACUUGGGAAUUGCAUUGGUGACUGCACGGCUAGAGUGUGUCAGAGGGGGGUAGAAUUCCACGUGUAGCAGUGAAAUGCGUAGAGAUGUGGAGGAAUACCGAUGGCGAAGGCAGCCCCCUGGGAUAACACUGACGCUCAUGCACGAAAGCGUGGGGAGCAAACAGG
Molecule: ribosomal RNA, 253 nt
Filed under: uncultured bacterium
Lineage: Bacteria
Description: partial 16S ribosomal RNA
Rfam family: Bacterial small subunit ribosomal RNA
Source: RNAcentral